Molecule: ribosomal RNA, 253 nt
Filed under: uncultured prokaryote
Description: partial 16S ribosomal RNA
Rfam family: Bacterial small subunit ribosomal RNA
Source: RNAcentral
ACGUAGGGUCCGAGCGUUGUCCGGAGUUACUGGGCGUAAAGCGCGCGCAGGCGGCCCGCGGGGUGUCACGUGAAAGCCCCGGGCUCAACUCGGGAGGGUCGUGGCAAACCGGCGGGCUUGAGGCCGGUAGAGGUGGGUGGAACUCCUGGUGGAGUGGUGAAAUGCGUAGAGAUCAGGAAGAACACCCGUGGCGAAGGCGGCCCACUGGGCCGGUGCUGACGCUGAGGCGCGAAAGCGUGGGGAGCAAACAGGA